GCCAUGUUUUAUGUUACUAACCAGUAUAUCUGUAUUAAUUUUAUUUGCAAAAGUUUAUUACACCAGAAUGCAAUUUAACUUAAAAGAUUGGCUUUACUAAGACGCUUUCCUGAGGCUCUCAGGAAAGAAGUUGUAACCUACAGAUCUUGACUAUUUUUGCACUUUUAAAUGUCUAGCGCUUAUUUUACAUCAAACACUUUCAAAAACAUGUUUUACAAACUACACUUCAGACAUAUUUCCAUAGAAGUGCCUACAUCAGUCAAUUAAAAGAAGGACCCCAUUGUUAAGCAUCAUUUAUGUGGGCAUUGUUAUGUGAAAGCUCAUGUGAUGGUAUUUGUUUUAGAAAUAGAAUGUUUUAGAAUGUGUUGGUUGUUUUUUGUUUUUGGUUGUGUUUUUUUUUUAGAAAAAUAGCAUGCUGCCUUCUGUUUUUUGAGAGAAGUAGCUGCCAGUGCACAGAAUGUUGCAAUCUUUUCAAGAAGCUAAAACCCGAUGCUCAGCAUGCCUAUCAGAAAUUUCUAAACGGGUGGCUGUUUUACCCCAGUACCCCAGCAACGGUGCUUGGGGUACAAGACCUUCACUUAUAAUUCAAACUUUAAAUUUCAUUUUUAAGUAAAGAACCACUUUUAAAAAAAGUUUCAAGUAUAGAAAGCUAGAAGAAUUAGCUGCCGUAAUGUAGUAAAGCUCAUUAAAAACCCCCAAGCUAAAAUGCUAAUAGAAAGGACACCUAUUUCUUUUUUGCUUUUAGUGUCUGUUGCUGUCUGAUGUUAUACUAGAACACAGGCCUGGGAGUUAACUCAGUGAUAUUGAGAAUGACAUGGUGAUUGACAUAUGCAAAGAAAAGAUGUGGUAGAGUUGCUUCAAGGAUUUUACUGUUCUUUGUUGUUUUUACCCCAUGCUUUUGGAUAAGUCUUUUAUUUAAUGUUUGCCCGUAUACGAUUGCUGUUGCAAAUCAACAUUUCUUCUUUGCAGGAAGUUCAUGCUGGUUUUAAAACAUUUCAAGCAACAGAAUUUAUUUUAUGAGCUAACAUGACCAAACAUGUAGUACAUAGGCAUAUGUUUUCCCAUCCUUGCUCUGGGGAUAUCUUCAUUUCCUAUUUUCUGUAUUUUUUUUCUCCUAUAUCUUGUUUUCUUUUGCCCUUUAGGAAAAAAAAAAAAAUGUCCUUAUCAGUAUAUCUCUUGCCUUCUUCCCUCUUUUUCUCUAAAUUGACCUUUCUGUCUUCCCCUCACUCAUCCCAGGGUAUAUCUGCCCAUGCCUCAAGACAAAGGGUUAUCUUGACCCUCAUAGUAUAACAGUGGUGUUAAUUUGUACCUUCCACCAUUUUUCCUGCCAGUAAAGAAAAGCUAAUCCAGUCUUCAUGGCUUACUGCAAAUGGGCACAGUUAGAAAUGAAUUACAUGUAAGACAAAUUUAUUUAACUUAGUUCUUCUUGAAAUUCAUAAAAAUACCUCAAGAAAACGGAAGUGUAACAACUAAGAUUCAAAUGACAAUGAUUUAAUAAGUAAAUGGAGUUGUGCUAACCCUGGGUGAAGGAUUAUCAUCUUCUCAUCUGAGAAUAAUACAGAGGAUAGUGAACAUGGUUCUCCAGGCAGUGAGACCUUCUGCAUACUGGGGGUCCUCCUAACCACAAAGAAUAUACAACAGUAGAGCAGUACGCAUCUUUUUUUUUCCCCUCUAUAAAAUUCACUCAGUUUCCGUAAAAGGGUACUUUUCAUUCAUUAUUUAUAUUAGAAUAAACAAACUGCAGGUGUAGUUCGAAGAAAACUUUUUUUCCUUAGGCGAUGUUUUUUCUGCUUUCCUUAAUCUUAGAUAUUUAUCCGGUGCUAGGCUGUGCCAUAUCGAGCAUGACUUUCAUCCUCUGGAUCUACAGACAUCAAGAGAGAUAGGAGGAUCCCCUUCCACGUCUGCAGCUUAUGGGGGUAGGUUUACUUUCUGUUUGUGUGUAUGGCAAAGGAGGAGGGCCUAUAGAGAGACCCUACAUUCCUGAUUACUGUUUAUUCAGAGCCAGUGAGGGGAUGACAUUUUUUCACCACAGUUCCAAUUUGCGUGCUGACGUUAAGUGAAAAAUAAAAUCAACUCUUCUUCCAGGAUAAAGGACCGAUAGCACAGAGGACAUUAGUGUUGCAUUUAGACUCAUAUAAAGUAGUUUUUAAUGAAAAAGCCUUACUGUAAAACAAACUUUUUCCUGGACACUAGUUUUCAGGGAGGAAGGAAGAAACAAGAAUGAGAAGACUAUUUCUGCAGAACAUCGAGAUAUUUCAUGAAUCACAUGCUCUUACUGUAAGUAAAAUUUUGAUAUCAGCCAUUAAAUUAGCAUGGCAGAAAGUUCUCAAGGUUAUUACAGUCUUUCUCUUCUUAAGUAAGAACUAUACUCUGCAGCAUUUAUAAUCAACCAAAUUAAAAGCUACCUAUGAUGUAGGAGGAAGAAGAGACAGCGAAAAGGAAGCAAUGAUGAAGAACUCAAGCAUGUGUUCCUUCAGACAUCUUUACAACUAAACAUCACUUAUUUAUCACUUCAUAAGCUCAAAUUGAGGGUACCUACUUUGCCACAGAAGCGGCCCUGGCAAGGAGUUUCAACUGACAGAACUCAGCUAGCAAAAGAAGAUAAACAGAGAAGUAAGACUGCCUGUUGCUGGUGUCAUUGGCAAACCAAGAUCUUGCUGCUCAACUGUUACGUGCUCAACAGGUAAAUCAAGCUUUUUUUUUUUUCCUAAUUUUCACAUUUUUCACUGUGAAAUAUAUCAUUCUGUAUUAAUGUUGUCCAUAAAAGAAGACAUUGCUUUUGUUAUGUUUCACGUUAGUGAUGAAAUUUCUACUCACUUCUGAGCUGAACUGGAAUUUAUUGGGAAAGUGACUUAGUUUGCAGAACAGAAAUUUAGUUAUGAUGCCCAAAAAAAAAGAGGAAAAAAUGUUAUUCUGGCUGUUGUCUUGAAAAUUUUUAAUCAUAGCAUCUCCAAGUACCUUGCAAACCAGAGUCAUAGUGUCACUUCCAAGUAACAGAGCAGGACAAAGGCAAAGCCAAAGGUACCCAGGUCUCCUCUGUAUUAGUCCGAUACUCUAUCUGGUAUUUCACAUUUCUAUCAAAGUAUCAUGAACAUAUGAAAUAUUCAAAAACAUACCAUGUUUUGUAUAUAUUUAUAUGUUCUCAAUUUUUAAGAAACAAUUUGUCUUUAGUGAAGACAUUCUCUAAGUUGUGGGGCAGGAAAUGUCGACACGAUUGAUUUAACAGCACAUUUAAUGAAAUAUAGUGCUCAGGUAAGAUUAGAAGCUGGAUUUAUUAGCAGUCCAGUGAGUAACAACGUUGUGAGUAUUGCCUUUUUAUAAGUUGUACUGAAAACGCAGGUAAGAUAGCAUUUUUAACACUGUUAACAGAGUUAACAGUUAAGAGAGGUGAGUGGAGUGAACCACGUUUACAGCAAGUGACGGUAAUCAGUGGCCUUAAAAGAUAGAAAUGUCAACUCAAAGGAUUAACUAGCACAAUUUAUGUAAAAUAGUAAAACUUCACAAAGUUAAAACUUGAUCUAAAUGGUAUACAGCUGCUAAAGAAAAAAGGAAAAAGAAAGAAAGAAAGAAAAAAAUCAAAAGCUUUACUGACCACCUUUUGAUUUUUUUUAAGGAUGCUUCAAUGGGUAUGAGCUCUUAGGAAAAAAAUACUGCAUUUUUGCCUGAAAAGUGCCGAUUUUAUUUUUAACACCUGUUAGU
This 3699-nucleotide long non-coding RNA is filed under the name Gallus gallus (chicken). RNAcentral describes it as "long non-coding RNA NONGGAT008569". The record is from RNAcentral. Lineage: Eukaryota; Metazoa; Chordata; Aves; Galliformes; Phasianidae.